Molecule: ribosomal RNA, 468 nt
Filed under: uncultured bacterium
Lineage: Bacteria
Description: partial 16S ribosomal RNA
Rfam family: Bacterial small subunit ribosomal RNA
Source: RNAcentral
CACCAGACUCCUACGGGAGGCAGCAGUGAGGAAUAUUGGUCAAUGGGCGGAAGCCUGAACCAGCCAAGUCGCGUGAGGGAAUAAGGCCCUACGGGUCGUAAACCUCUUUUGCCGGGGAGCAACGGGCGCCACGUGUGGCGCCACUGAGAGUACCCGGAGAAAAAGCAUCGGCUAACUCCGUGCCAGCAGCCGCGGUAAUACGGAGGAUGCGAGCGUUAUCCGGAUUCACUGGGUGUAAAGGGAGCGUAGACGACCAAGCAAGCCAGGGGUGAAAGCCCGGGGCCCAACCCCGGGACUGCCCUUGGAACUGCAUGGCUGGAGUGCGGGAGGGGCAGGCGGAAUUCCUGGUGUAGCGGUGAAAUGCGUAGAUAUCAGGAGGAACACCGGCGGCGAAGGCGGCCUGCUGGACUGCGACUGACGUUGAGGCUCGAAAGCGUGGGGAGCGAACAGGAUUAGAUACCCCAGUAA